This 450-nucleotide ribosomal RNA is filed under the name uncultured bacterium. Its description in RNAcentral is "bacterial SSU rRNA". It matches the Rfam family "Bacterial small subunit ribosomal RNA", at positions 45 to 543 of the family's 1533-position model. The record is from RNAcentral.
GGCCUAACACAUGCAAGUCGAGCGCCCCGCAAGGGGAGCGGCAGACGGGAGAGUAACACGUGGGAACGUGCCUUUUGGUUCGGAACAACCCAGGGAAACUUGGGCUAAUACCGGAUAAGCCCUUACGGGGAAAGAUUUAUCGCCAAAAGAUCGGCCCGCGUCUGAUUAGCUAGUUGGUGAGGUAAUGGCUCACCAAGGCUACGAUCAGUAGCUGGUCUGAGAGGAUGAUCAGCCUCAUUGGGACUGAGACACGGCCCAAACUCCUACGGGAGGCAGCAGUGGGGAAUAUUGGACAAUGGGCGCAAGCCUGAUCCAGCCAUGCCGCGUGGAUGAUGAAGGCCUUAGGGUUGUAAAGUCCUUUUAACGGGGAAGAUAAUGACGGUACCCGUAGAAUAAGCCCCGGCUAACUUCGUGCCAGCAGCCGCGGUAAUACGAAGGGGGCUAGCGUUG